RNAcentral lists this ribosomal RNA (514 nucleotides) under uncultured bacterium. RNAcentral's name for it is "bacterial SSU rRNA". It matches the Rfam family "Bacterial small subunit ribosomal RNA", at positions 28 to 526 of the family's 1533-position model. The record is from RNAcentral.
GAUGAACGCUGGCGGCGUGCUUAACACAUGCAAGUCGAACGAAGCAUCCCUCCCGAUGAAUGGAACAGCUUGCUGGGAAAGGAAUCAACUGGGAUGACUGAGUGGCGGACGGGUGAGUAACGCGUGGGUAACCUGCCCCAUAGAGGGGGACAACAGCCGGAAACGGCUGCUAAUACCGCAUAAAAAGGAGAGGGCGCAUGCUCUCAUCUUCAAAGAUUUAUCGCUAUGGGAUGGACCCGCGUCAGAUUAGCUUGUUGGUAAGGUAACGGCUUACCAAGGCGACGAUCAGUAGCCGGCUUGAGAGAGUGAACGGCCACAUUGGGACUGAGACACGGCCCAGACUCCUACGGGAGGCAGCAGUGGGGAAUAUUGCACAAUGGGGGAAACCCUGAUGCAGCGACGCCGCGUGAGUGAAGAAGUAUUUCGGUAUGUAAAGCUCUAUCAGCAGGGAAGAUAAUGACGGUACCUGACUAAGAAGCCCCGGCUAACUACGUGCCAGCCGCCGCGGUAAAAC